UACGUAGGGGGCUAGCGUUAUCCGGAAUUACUGGGCGUAAAGGGUGCGUAGGUGGUUUUUCAAGUCAGGAGUGAAAGGCUACGGAUCAACCGUAGUAAGCUGUUGAAACUGUAAAACUUGAGUGCAGGGGAGGAGAGUAGAAUACCUAGUGUAGCGGUGAAAUGGGGAGAUAUUAGGGGGAAUACCAGUUGCGAAGGCGGCUCUCUGGCCUGUAACUGACACUGAGGCACGAAAGCGUGGGGAGCAAACAGG
This 252-nucleotide ribosomal RNA is filed under the name uncultured bacterium. RNAcentral's name for it is "partial 16S ribosomal RNA". It matches the Rfam family "Bacterial small subunit ribosomal RNA", at positions 524 to 776 of the family's 1533-position model. The record is from RNAcentral.